This 85-nucleotide transfer RNA is filed under the name Actinomycetota bacterium. RNAcentral's name for it is "tRNA-Leu". It matches the Rfam family "tRNA". From Rfam's summary of the family: Transfer RNA (tRNA) molecules are approximately 80 nucleotides in length. Their secondary structure includes four short double-helical elements and three loops (D, anti-codon, and T loops). Further hydrogen bonds mediate the characteristic L-shaped molecular structure. tRNAs have two regions of fundamental functional importance: the anti-codon, which is responsible for specific mRNA codon recognition, and the 3' end, to which the tRNAs corresponding amino acid is attached (by aminoacyl-tRNA synthetases). tRNAs cope with the degeneracy of the genetic code in two manners: having more than one tRNA (with a specific anti-codon) for a particular amino acid; and 'wobble' base-pairing, i.e. permitting non-standard base-pairing at the 3rd anti-codon position. Lineage: Bacteria; Bacillati; Actinomycetota. The record is from RNAcentral.
GCCCGGGUGGCGGAACUGGUGUACGCGGUCGGCUUAAACCCGACUGCCCCUCGUGGGCGUGUGGGUUCGAAUCCCACCCCGGGCA